This is a long non-coding RNA of Musa acuminata AAA Group (dessert banana), 1936 nucleotides long. RefSeq lists it as uncharacterized. The record is from RefSeq and is a predicted model, not a curated record. The transcript has 5 exons. Lineage: Eukaryota; Viridiplantae; Streptophyta; Magnoliopsida; Zingiberales; Musaceae.
UUUAAACUAUAGAUCCCAUCCUUUCUCGAUUAUUUGCAGUAGAAACAGAAAUGGGGAGGAAAGACGGGAAGGGACAACUGACACACUGUCUCCAAUCCCUCUCUCUCUCUCUCUCUCUGGCUCCCUUGUCGACGCCCAACGCAUCGCAUCGUCGAUUCCCAUUUCCUUUGGCGGUGACUGGGUCGUAUCGUGGCGCCUCGAUCUUCUCAGCACCAAUGUGGAGGUGAUUCGUGUAAGGCGUUGCUUUGAUCGCUUGUUUGUUUCGACUUGCGGUCGAUCGAUCUAUUGUUUGCCCUAAUUGUACUUGUUUCUUUUGGGUUCUCGAUGAUAUUGGAGCUUCUGUUCUUCGGUGCCUGCCGUAUAAGGGAAUUCUUCGUAUAAUUUUCGUAAUUUGUGGCGUAAUUGUUGAUUUGAGUUUGUCGUCUGCAUUGAUUUAAGUUCAGGGGUGAUACUAUCCUGGUUCGAUUUGGUGAGGCACUGGUUUUAUCUGUAUUUUUUAGGAAGAAUGCGUUCGGAGAAUGCUGCGACAGUUUGUCCUAUCUCUAGCUUCUCUUGAUUGAUCUUUUGCCCUGUCUGUUCUAGUUGAUACGAGGUUCUUACAUAGGGUUUGGUGAUGGACGGGACUGCAAAGAGGGAGAGCCAUUUGCCAUUUGCUCGGACUCCUGUGGAAGGGGGAGUUCAGGAUGCUUGUGGUGAUGCAUGCAGCAUCCGUCUUGAACCCCUCUGCGAAAUUGAUCCUUCAACGGUGCCAGAGAAAAUCUCGGUGUCCCAUGUGUUGGCGGUCCAUCGGUUUGAAGGAUCCCACCUGGUUCAUAUGAAUUGGCCAGGAACUACUAGAGGCCAUAGAAAGGGAAAGCAGCAUUAGACUUGAUCGUGCAAGGACCACCACAAUUUUUCAUCGUCCAGUGCAUGGAGAUUUCAAUUUGCAACAUAUUCUUUCUUUCUCGCCUAUUCAUGGCAAUUGCCAGUAGCUGGAAGUGAUGAAGAAUUUGAAGAGCAUAUUAUCCAGCACUUUGUUGCUGCUGCUGCCAUGGGAAGAGCACGCCACAUUGCUUGAAGAGGUCGGCUUAGAUCAGGAUCUCAUGAUCACCUGCAGUAUCUGGUUUUCUCCACAAAUUCAAUUGCAUCGUCUGUGGGCUUAACAUCUUCCUCAGCUCCAAAAGGGGAAAAUGAAAUAGCUCCUGCAACAGUUGUUGCUAACCCGUCAUCUCCAAUAAGUAAUCCAGGAGGGGAUUCUGCCGAAGUAACAAAUAUUAUGCUGGCUCAUGCCAGUAACAAAUAUUCUUACUUCAAGUCCAAGCAAACCUGCUGGCCAGUCAAAUCUUCGGCUAACCAAGAUGGACCAGAACCAUCAGACUUCCAAUUGUUCUCAGAAUCUCUGAAAUCUCGUCUGAAUGCAGUUUCACCGAGCUAAUUCAGAGCUUAUGUGCUGUUUUCAGUAUCCUGGUAAUGCGGAUGCGGGUUGUGCCCUUCACAUUUUGUUGCAAUAGGUACAAAGAGCACUAAAGGAAGGAGGGAGAGGCUAUUUUCACGUAGGAACUCUGUGGCGGGUAUUGGUUGUGAAGUUGGGAGACAAGUUGGUGUUGGAAUUGGUACCAUGUCAAGAAUAAUGGAGCUCCUGGUACUUUUAUCUCACAUAGUGCUGCAGUGCACUCAGAUAUGGAACCAGGUAAUAAUGGUGUCAUUGCCAAUCGUGCCGAAACUUCUCCAAAUAAUGGCACUACCUUUGCAACUUCAGGCCCCGGUGAAAGUGAUCUACUCCUUUUCUAAAGAUUUGAGCUUGGUUUAGUGCUCAAUAUCGAAGGUACCUACAUUUCUGCUAGCACGAGAUUCCCUUGCGUUGGUGAAUUUACUUGUCAUAGAAAUCAGAUGAAUGAUACCAGAAUACACAACUGUUAUGAUUUCACUACACCAUUGUGCCUUUGAUUUUGUUCAA